Molecule: unclassified non-coding RNA, 788 nt
Filed under: Monomorium pharaonis (pharaoh ant)
Lineage: Eukaryota; Metazoa; Arthropoda; Insecta; Hymenoptera; Formicidae
Description: uncharacterized LOC105831699, transcript variant X1
Source: RNAcentral
CGGAAGUGAAGUCGAGUCUUUAUGAAAUCGAGUCCCCGGGGAUAACGCGCACGUGAUAUGCGCGAGAGGAGUUUCGGGGAUGAGAGGACAAUCCUGUUUCUCCCUUCCCCGUCGAGAUUGUUUUCUCAAGUCCUUUGGGCGGCGCUUUUGUUUCCGUCUCUUUAAGGACGUCCCUCGAUUACUCCGGAACUCAACAGAGGAAUGACCUUGCCGACUCAUAUUGCUUGUCAUUGUAGCUUUGAACGCUUCAAAUCAGAUAUUACUCAUGCUCGCGCGAGCGUAUGCCUCGUGGACAUUGUCAUGAUGCUUUUUGACGGGAAAUGUGAGCGAGAUCGGUGUUUCACGUAGAAGGUUUUGCAGGGAGGGAGGCUCUUGACUUGAUAUGUCUCUUCGAGCGAGGAGCAGGAGAUAUUUCGCGAUAUCCGAUUCGCAUACGAGACGCUCACGUAUAUGCGCAAUCAUAAUCAUACGACGCAGCACACGUGCGUCACAACUCCGGCUCCUAGUCACGAUUCCGACCGGUUUCCUGGAAGCCUGGAAAAAAGACUUUUCUAGAGAAGAGGAGGAAACGUUCAGGCGUUUUCCUUGCGAGACAUAUCUGUGAUUAUAUCUCGCACUUUCUAGGUUGCUCCAAGAAAAAAGAAAUGAAGAUAAAAACACACAUGCUUAUACUUGAUAAAUUUACCAAGAAGUUGGAACAACCGGCCCUAGUACAGGAAAUUUGAACAGAACAGCAAAGAUUAAUUUAUUAUAUAAAACGUGGCGAAUAGGUUCGCUUUCAGGAGGAG